GUACUCUCACACUCUCUGAUCCUUUGGAUUCGGGGAGCGGUGGACUUGGGUGUUUGCUGCUUUUCGUUGUGGCUCACCUCAAAUGCGUUAGUGCACCUCUUGGUUGGACAUAGUACGGCGUGAUAAGUAUCUUCGCCGGCACCUCGCGAGAGGGUGGCCGAUCGAGAGCUCUGUGCUUUCCAACCGUCUUCGGACAACAUCUGACA
Molecule: unclassified non-coding RNA, 206 nt
Filed under: uncultured Sebacina
Lineage: Eukaryota; Fungi; Basidiomycota; Agaricomycetes; Sebacinales; Sebacinaceae
Description: sequence contains ITS2
Source: RNAcentral